AUGCAAGUGUAAGUUCACGCCACGCAUUAGAACGGGCGAAACCGCGAAUGGCUCAGGAACCGGACCUAAUCCUCGGGACCGUAAUCCUCCUCGGAGGCGUUGGAUAACUGUGGCAAUUCUAGAGCUAAUACAUGUGACACAGGCCGCGAUCGGCCGUCGCGUCGUGGUCGCCUCGCCUCGCGCGCUGGCACCCGCGGCGGCCGUCUUGGGUCGCGGCGCUACAUAUUAGACUGAGACCGAUGCGCGAUUCACGGCCUCCCUUCCUUCGGGUCGGGAUCAAGGUCGUCGCGCUCCGCUUUGGUGACUCUGGAUAACUCACUGGUCGAUCGCACGGGCUUCACGCCCGGCGACGGGUCCCCCGAGGGUCCGCCCUAUCAACUGUCGACGGUCGGUUAAGUGCCUACCGUGGUUACUACGGGUAACGGGGAAUCGGGGUUCGAUUCCGGAGAG
This 450-nucleotide ribosomal RNA is filed under the name Pterygioteuthis sp. USNM IZ 1447980. RNAcentral's name for it is "partial small subunit ribosomal RNA". It matches the Rfam family "Eukaryotic small subunit ribosomal RNA", at positions 51 to 390 of the family's 1831-position model. The record is from RNAcentral. Lineage: Eukaryota; Metazoa; Mollusca; Cephalopoda; Oegopsida; Enoploteuthidae.